CAGUCGAACGAGUUCUGAUUAUUGAAAGGUGCUUGCAUCUUGAUUUAAUUUUGAACGAGUGGCGGACGGGUGAGUAACACGUGGGUAACCUGCCCUUAAGUGGGGGAUAACAUUUGGAAACAGAUGCUAAUACCGCAUAAAUCCAAGAACCGCAUGGUUCUUGGCUGAAAGAUGGCGUAAGCUAUCGCUUUUGGAUGGACCCGCGGCGUAUUAGCUAGUUGGUGAGGUAACGGCUCACCAAGGCAAUGAUACGUAGCCGAACUGAGAGGUUGAUCGGCCACAUUGGGACUGAGACACGGCCCAAACUCCUACGGGAGGCAGCAGUAGGGAAUCUUCCACAAUGGACGCAAGUCUGAUGGAGCAACGCCGCGUGAGUGAAGAAGGCUUUCGGGUCGUAAAACUCUGUUGUUGGAGAAGAAUGGUCGGCAGAGUAACUGUUGUCGGCGUGACGGUAUCCAACCAGAAAGCCACGGCUAACUACGUGCCAGCAGCCGCGGUAAUACGUAGGUGGCAAGCGUUAUCCGGAUUUAUUGGGCGUAAAGCGAGCGCAGGCGGUUUUUUAAGUCUGAUGUGAAAGCCCUCGGCUUAACCGAGGAAGUGCAUCGGAAACUGGGAAACUUGAGUGCAGAAGAGGACAGUGGAACUCCA
This 648-nucleotide ribosomal RNA is filed under the name Lacticaseibacillus rhamnosus. Its description in RNAcentral is "bacterial SSU rRNA". It matches the Rfam family "Bacterial small subunit ribosomal RNA", at positions 59 to 671 of the family's 1533-position model. Lineage: Bacteria; Bacillati; Bacillota; Bacilli; Lactobacillales; Lactobacillaceae. The record is from RNAcentral.